RNAcentral lists this ribosomal RNA (436 nucleotides) under Bacillus sp. SMT1. Its description in RNAcentral is "bacterial SSU rRNA". It matches the Rfam family "Bacterial small subunit ribosomal RNA", at positions 1037 to 1477 of the family's 1533-position model. The record is from RNAcentral. Lineage: Bacteria; Bacillati; Bacillota; Bacilli; Caryophanales; Bacillaceae.
GGUGGUGCAUGGUUGUCGUCAGCUCGUGUCGUGAGAUGUUGGGUUAAGUCCCGCAACGAGCGCAACCCUUGAUCUUAGUUGCCAUCAUUUAGUUGGGCACUCUAAGGUGACUGCCGGUGAUAAACCGGAGGAAGGUGGGGAUGACGUCAAAUCAUCAUGCCCCUUAUGACCUGGGCUACACACGUGCUACAAUGGACGAUACAAACGGUUGCCAACUCGCGAGAGGGAGCUAAUCCGAUAAAGUCGUUCUCAGUUCGGAUUGUAGGCUGCAACUCGCCUACAUGAAGCCGGAAUCGCUAGUAAUCGCGGAUCAGCAUGCCGCGGUGAAUACGUUCCCGGGCCUUGUACACACCGCCCGUCAAACCACGAGAGUUUGUAACACCCGAAGUCGGUGAGGUAACCUUUGGAGCCAGCCGCCGAAGGUGGAUUGAACUCG